This is a long non-coding RNA of Zingiber officinale, 511 nucleotides long. RefSeq lists it as uncharacterized. NCBI's taxonomy places the organism in Eukaryota, Viridiplantae, Streptophyta, Magnoliopsida, Zingiberales, Zingiberaceae. The transcript is spliced from 3 exons. The record is from RefSeq and is a predicted model, not a curated record.
CACGCGAUUUCCUUUCUCCUGAGCCCUCUCACGAUUUUCCCCUCGCCCGAUCGCCGGCCACCGCGAGCUCACCGCCGGCACCGGCCUUCUCCUCCAGCGUGCCUCAGCCGGUUCUCCCUCCGAUCUUAUCUGGUUGUUGCCCCUCUUUCCUUUUGAUCUCGCGGAUAUCGAUCGCCCUUCUUCUCGGCGUCGCCACGAUCAUGCCGACCGACCAUGAGCUUGCAACCAGCAACAAUCUCUUACUCGGGCACCCUUCAUCAUCAUUGGAAUUUUGAUUACCUUACUGCUAAGAUUCCAGCCACCCUCUCGAUCCCGACGUUGUAGCUACGCCGGCGUGAAGGGGGUAAUUAGGGCAUCAAGGAUCUUGAUCCUCUUCUUUGAGGUUGAUUUAGGUCACGGAUUGGGUGAAUUCUUUGAAGACAACCGAAUGAGGAGGUUUUGUUCUGUUCUUGCUGUGGUGUUCUUGGUGCCGGCAGCCCUCAAACCAGCAUCAACAGUAGCUUGAUUGAGG